CGCGGCAAAAGGUCGCAUAAGAAGAAGGAAAAGGACGCACCGCGGCGUACAAAAAAUAUCAUUAAAUGGACGAAGGAAGAGGAAUUCGCGUUGACUCGGGCGUUUGUCGACAUUUCGGAGGACAAAGAGACCGCAAACUUUCAAACGGGCCCGGUUUUUUGGGAUAGGGUUCGUGCACUCUUCUUUAGCACGUGGGGUCAAGGCGAACAUCGGGACAAAGAUUCCAUUUCUAGCAAAUGGACCGACAUCAACAACAAGUGUCAUGGGUUCCAAGAAGUCUUCCAACGUAACUACGAUAAUCGGCCGAGCGGUGAAGGUGACGUCGGGGUUUUAACGAAGAGUUUGGAGGAGUACGAG
Molecule: long non-coding RNA, 357 nt
Filed under: Helianthus annuus (common sunflower)
Lineage: Eukaryota; Viridiplantae; Streptophyta; Magnoliopsida; Asterales; Asteraceae
Description: hypothetical non coding rna
Source: RNAcentral